CACGUAGUUAGCCGUGACUUUCUGGUUAGAUACUGUCAAGGUUGAGGCAGUUACUCCUCAACUUGUUCUUCUCUAAUAACAGAACUUUACGAUCCGAAGACCUUCUUCAUUCACGCGGCAUUGCUCCAUCAGGUUUGCACCCAUUGUGGAAGAUUCCCUACUGCGGCCUCCCGUAGGAGUCUGGGCCGUGUCUCAGUCCCAGUGUGGCCGAUCACCCUCUCAGGUCGGCUACGUAUCGUCGCCUUGGUGAGCCAUUACCUCACCAACUAACUAAUACGCCGCGGGAUCAUCUAAGAGCGACAGCAAAGCCGUCUUUCAUUCAUGAACCAUGCGGUUCGCGAAUCUAUGCGGUAUUAGCAUUCCGUUCGAAUUCGUUACCCCCCACUCCUAGGCACGUACUUCCCCACGUUAGUUACCUCCACCCGUUCGCCUACUCACUCCACACUCUGCAAGCAGAGUGCUUCAGUCGUUCGACUUGCUAUGUAUUAGGCAUGCCCGACCG
Molecule: ribosomal RNA, 502 nt
Filed under: uncultured Atopostipes sp.
Lineage: Bacteria; Bacillati; Bacillota; Bacilli; Lactobacillales; Carnobacteriaceae
Description: partial 16S ribosomal RNA
Source: RNAcentral